Molecule: ribosomal RNA, 497 nt
Filed under: uncultured bacterium
Lineage: Bacteria
Description: partial 16S ribosomal RNA
Rfam family: Bacterial small subunit ribosomal RNA
Source: RNAcentral
GAUGAACGCUGGCGGCGUGCCUAAUACAUGCAAGUCGAGCGAACAGACGAGGCUCUUGCUUGUCUGACGUUAGCGGCGGGCGGGUGAGUAACACGUGGAUACCCUACCUAUAAGACUGGGAUAACUUCGGGAAAGCGGAGCUAACACCGGAUAAGAUAUUGAACCGCAUGGUUCUUUGGUGAAAGACGGUUUUGCUGUCACUAAUAGAGGGUUCCGCGCCGUAUUGGCUAGUUGGUACGGUAACGGCUUACCAAGGCUACGAUGCGUAGCCGACCUGAGAGGGUGAUCGGCCACACUGGAACUGAGACACGGUCCAGACUCCUACGGGAGGCAGCAGUAGGGAAUCGUCCGCAAUGGGCGAAAGCCUGACGGAGCAACGCCGCGUGUGUGAUGAAGGUCUUCGGAUCGUAAAGCUCUGUUAGUAGGGAAGAACAAAUGUGUAAGUAAAUAUGCCCGUCUUGACGGUACCUAGUCAGAAAGCCACGGCUAACUACGUG